Molecule: long non-coding RNA, 2604 nt
Filed under: Ornithorhynchus anatinus (platypus)
Lineage: Eukaryota; Metazoa; Chordata; Mammalia; Monotremata; Ornithorhynchidae
Description: lncRNA (ENSOANG00000048409.1)
Source: RNAcentral
AUGGGCAGCGUAGAAGGGGCACGGGCCAGACCUGGGGGGCAGAGACCACAGUCGGGGGUCGGUUGGGGGAGCUGGGCAGGGAUGGGAGGGUCUUACCCUUGCCGACACUCCCGUCGCGCAUCACUCCCUUUUCCCGCCCUCCCUCAUCCACACUCCCUUAAUCCCACCCCCACAACAGAGCUUCUUGCUGGUGGGGCAGCCGGCCUCCGGGACCCCGCCCAGCCCCGGCCCCCAGAUCCUGGGCCUAGAGGAGUCCGAGGCCUCGGGUUUGGACGCGGCCGUGGAGCUGGUGGACUUGUACGAGGACGGAGGUGCCGGCCAGGGCGGGGGGCACUUCCAGCCGGGGGAGGUGCUGCUGUAGGCCGCGGGGCCGGGCCGGGCCGGCCGACAUCCCCGGCCCGCUCCACCGCCCCACCCCCGUUCAGCCACACUCCAGACCCGGGUCUCUCUAACGACGCACAGGGGUCUCGCCACCCCCACCCCAGCCGGGUCCCCGGGGCUCUGACAUCACUCCGCGGCCCCCCGACCUCACUGAUGCCCCGUCCCGCCCCCCUUCUCAGGGGCCCGGCCCCCAGCCCUCCAUGGUGCUCUAGCUCCGCGAUUACCUCAAUUUGUAGGGUUCGUCUUUAUUAGGGGGGGAGGGGGGAGGGGAGUUUUUAACCCGUCUGAGCUCGGGGGACUCCGUUCGGACGAUCCCUUGGUCUCUGCUUUUCUGUUGGGACACUGGUGGGUUUUUACUAUUUGUUUCCUGGGAACAGGCUCGAGCCGCCCUCCCGCCUGUCGGCCUCCCUGGCUCCGGCCGCUGGUUCCCGCCGCCUGCCCCCUCCCUGGGACCCCCCCGUUCCCCCCACUGAGAUCCCUCCCCCAGCAGCCGUUCCAGCCGCUCGGUGAUCACACGCACAGCCCUGCCUCCUGCAGCCGGGGGCGGAGGGACAGACGCACACACAAACCUCCCCCUUCCCUCCGCCCCAUCUCUCCGCCGGGCAAGUGACCUGUUUCCAUGACAAUGGGGCCCGGGGAGCCACGUGGCACCGCGACCAGGACCGCCCCACCCCCUCCCAGCCUCGAUUCACCCCCUUUCGGGCCUCCCCCCACCGGCCCAUCCCGGGUUGGGGGGGACACAAAAGCCCACAUGGUGCUAUGGGGGAGUCUGCGGGGAGGGCCGGUGGUUCCUGUCUGCCCUUGGUUGAGGGAGGGGGGUCUGGGCCCCUGGGGGACUCUGUACCCCCUGACCUCACCCCGCUGCCAUAAAAUGAGCGGUCGAGCCAAGCCCCCCCCCGGACCUGUUGACCAAGAGCAGUUUAUAGUGUCGUUCUGGGCAACUUGGGAGGGGGGUGGGCUUUUGUCUCCAGCAUGUGCAUGUGUGGGAAUGUAAUAACAGUAAUAAUAAUAAUAACGGUAUUUGUUCAUAAUGAUGAUGGUAUUUGUUAAACGCUUACUAUGUGUCAAGCAGUGUUCUAAACUCUGGGGUAGGUGCAAGAUAAUAAGGCUGGACAUAGUCCCUGUCUCAUAUGGUCCCGUGGUCUUAAUCCCCAUUUUAUAGAUGAAGUAACUGAGACACAGAGAAGUUUAAGUGACCUGCUCAAGGUCACACAGCAGACACGUGGUGGAGCUGGGAUCAGAACCCAUGACCUUCUGACUCUCAGACCCCUGCUCUAUCCACUACGCCAUACUUCUUCACGACCUUAUACUAAGCCCUGGGGUAGAUCCAGGUUAAUCAGGUGGGACAUGGUCCUUGACCCACAUGGGAUUCGCAGCCUUAAUCUCCAUUUUAUAGAUGAGGUAACAGGCAUGGAGAGUAAUUGUAAGUGUGGUGUUUAAGUGCUUACUUUGUGCCAGGCACUGUUCUAAGCGCUGAGGUAGAUACAAGCAGAUCGGAUUAGACGUAGUCCCUUUCCCACUUGGGGUUCAUAGUCUUAAUCCCCACUUUACGGAUGAGGUAACUGAGGCACAGAGAAGCGAAACGCCUGGCCCAAGGUCACGCAACGGAUAAAUGGCAGAGUUGGAUUUUGAACCAAGUUCCUCUGACUCCCAAGCCUGGGCUUUCUUUAUCCAGUAGACCAAGCUGCUUCCUAGGAUCCUGCUGUCUCUUGAACGCACCCCUUUUCUUCCUGCUCAUUUUAGACCCCCCAUUCACCCUCUCCCCUACUGCCCGGUGCCCCAGCUGGCUCCUGUUAGCCUGGCCAGGAUGUUGGACGUGAGGCCCAGCCUCCUGUCUUUUUUUUUUGUAUGGUAUUUGUUAAGCACUUAAUAUAUGCCAGGCACUGUACUAAGGCCUGGGGUAGAUACAAGAAAAUUGGAUUGGACACAGUCCUUGUCUUUUAUUCAUUCAUUCAUUCAAUAAUAUUUAUUGAGCGCUUACUAUGUACAGAGCACUGUACUAAGUGCUUGGCAUGUACAGUUUGGCAACAGAUAGAGACAAUUCCUGCCCAGUGAGGGGCUCACGGUCUAAUCAGGGGAGACAGCAGAGUAAAACAGACCGAAACAAAAGAUGACGUUAUCAUGAUAAAUAGAAUCAAGGGGAUGUACAUCUCAUUAAAAUAAAUAGGGUAAUAAAUAUACAAAUGAGCACAGUGCGGAGGGGAGGGGAAAGGGGAAGAGCAG